This 550-nucleotide ribosomal RNA is filed under the name uncultured bacterium. RNAcentral describes it as "partial 16S ribosomal RNA". The record is from RNAcentral.
UCAACCUUGCGGCCGUACUCCCCAGGCGGUCAACUUCACGCGUUAGCUUCGUUACUUGAGUCAGUGAAGACCCAACAACCAGUUGACAUCGUUUAGGGCGUGGACUACCCGGGUAUCUAAUCCUGUUUGCUCCCCACGCUUUCGUGCAUGAGCGUCAGUACAGGUCCAGGGGAUUGCCUUCGCCAUCGGUGUUCCUCCGCAUAUCUACGCAUUUCACUGCUACACGCGGAAUUCCAUCCCCCUCUACCGUACUCUAGCUAUGCAGUCACAAAUGCAGGUCCCAGGUUGAGCCCGGGGAUUUCACAUCUGUCUUACAUAACCGCCUGCGCACGCUUUACGCCCAGUAAUUCCGAUUAACGCUCGCACCCUACGUAUUACCGCGGCUGCUGGCACGUAGUUAGCCGGUGCUUAUUCUUACGGUACCGUCAUUAGCCCCUUGUAUUAGAAAGGACCGUUUCGUUCCGUACAAAAGCAGUUUACAACCCGAAGGCCUUCAUCCUGCACGCGGCAUUGCUGGAUCAGGCUUGCGCCCAUUGUCCAAAAUUCCCCA